GACGAACGCUGGCGGCGUGCAUAACACAUGCAAGUCACGGGGGCCAGCAAUGGCAACCGGCGAACGGGUGCGUAACACGUAAGCGACCUACCUCGAUGUGGGGCAUAGCCGGCCUAACGGCCGGGUAAUUCCGCAUGUGAUCCCGGAGGGGCAUAUCUCUGGGAUGAAACCAGUAAUGGGCAUUGAGAGGGGCUUGCGGCCUAUCAGCUAGUUGGCGGGGUAACGGCUCACCAAGGCGACGACGGGUAGCUGGUCUGAGAGGAUGGCCAGCCACAUU
RNAcentral lists this ribosomal RNA (277 nucleotides) under uncultured bacterium. RNAcentral describes it as "partial 16S ribosomal RNA". It matches the Rfam family "Bacterial small subunit ribosomal RNA", at positions 28 to 314 of the family's 1533-position model. The record is from RNAcentral.